GAAAUCUCAUCCUAUGUGGUAUCAUGCUCAGGUUUAAGGUCCAAGAUUUCAUCAUCUGUGACAUAAUAAGAAAUACACACAUAAGCACAUAUACACAGGCAUAUAUGCAUUUACAUAUACACACGUGUGUGUGUAUGUAUGUAUAUGAAGUUUUCUCUCUCCCUGAUUCCUGACACAGAGCUCCUAAAACACUAAUUGCCUGAUUGAUAGGAGUGAUAGAAGCAUCUUUUCUUACAAUAUUUGAUCUUGGCCCCCAGUUCCUGACAUAAGAGCUGCUAAGACCCUUGGAAUCUCCAUAGCUUCAAGAGAUCACAAGAAAGACCAAGGCAUGAUUAGAGAAUUGGAAGUUUCAGUCCUACCCUGAGACCUUCAGAGAGGGGCUUGAGAUUGAACUAAUUACUAACAGCCAAUGGUUUAAUCAAUCCUUCUACAUAAUGGAACCUCCUUAGAAGUCCCCAAAUGAUGGCAUUUGGAGAGCUUCUGGGCUAAUGAAUGCAUCCAUCUGCUGGGAGGUGGUGCACCCAAACUCUACACGGACAGAGGCUCCUUUGCUUGGGACCCUUCCCUACCUCCCCCAUGUACCCCUUCUUCUGACUAUUCAUCUGUGUUCCCCAUAAUCUCCUCUAUAUUAAACUGAAAUAGUAAAUAAACUGUUUCCCUGGGUUCUGUAAGC
RNAcentral lists this long non-coding RNA (673 nucleotides) under Pan troglodytes (chimpanzee). RNAcentral's name for it is "long non-coding RNA NONPTRT016168". The record is from RNAcentral. Lineage: Eukaryota; Metazoa; Chordata; Mammalia; Primates; Hominidae.